GGAGGCUAGGGCUAGCAAGCCAGUAGUUAAUAUUAGGCUCUUUUCGCCGAGGGAUCGGGUUAAGGGUAGGCUAAGAAAGUCGCAUGACAAUUAAUUAAUCAAACUAAUAAUUCAAGAGGAGUAGAUAAGAGAGAGCGGAUAAGAUGAAAUUGUAAACCCCUAACAACAUUCAUUCAUCCAUUGCUUUCUUUUGUCAAUUGAAUCAAUCUUUUUUGCAUGCUAAUAUUUUUUUUCUCAAAUCAAUUUAUUUAUUUUUACUUUCAAGUCUUAUUAUUUUAAUUCACGUGAACGAGAAAGCCUUUUGAGUCUCAGCCUUUUGAGUCUCUUGGGAAGAACGAUAUUGGGUUUUACCAAUUAUAUUACUUGAACAAUUUGAUACGCUUGCCAAUCCGUCAACAAGAUUUUGGCGCCAUUAUCGGGGACUCGAGGUUUAUUUUUCUAGUAGUGUGGAUUAAGUGAAUUCGACUUGGUUGUAAUUAUUUUUGUUUAAUUGCG
Molecule: long non-coding RNA, 495 nt
Filed under: Vigna radiata
Lineage: Eukaryota; Viridiplantae; Streptophyta; Magnoliopsida; Fabales; Fabaceae
Description: long non-coding RNA (VRAD_LNC014883)
Source: RNAcentral